GUGAUCCUUAGUUCCCUUCAGUAGCACAUAAACUAAAAUUGAGACCAUACAGAGAAGAUCAGCAUGGCCCACGUGCAAGGAUGACACCCAAAUUCAUGAAGCAUGCCAUACGAGA
Molecule: small nuclear RNA, 115 nt
Organism: Cricetulus griseus (Chinese hamster)
Lineage: Eukaryota; Metazoa; Chordata; Mammalia; Rodentia; Cricetidae
Source: Ensembl